UACGGGGGGGGCAAGCGUUGUUCGGCAUUACUGGGCGUAAAGGGCUCGUAGGUGGCCAACUAAGUCAGACGUGAAAUCCCUCAGCUUAACUGGGGAACUGCGUCUGAUACUGGAUGGCUUGAGUUUGGGAGAGGGACGCGGAAUUCCAGGUGUAGCGGUGAAAUGCGUAGAUAUCUGGAGGAACACCGGUGGCGAAGGCGGCGUCCUGGACCAACACUGACACUGACACGCGAAAGCUAGGGGAGCGAACGGG
This 253-nucleotide ribosomal RNA is filed under the name uncultured bacterium. RNAcentral describes it as "partial 16S ribosomal RNA". It matches the Rfam family "Bacterial small subunit ribosomal RNA", at positions 524 to 776 of the family's 1533-position model. The record is from RNAcentral.